GGCUCGGUCUUCUCCAGCUUUGAGAGCGGUGACUGUUUUUCUUUUAUCCAGUAGAUCAUGAUCCCUGAUUUUUUGAUGCACUUGGGCCUCUUCUUUAGUUACGCUUAUGAAUUUGGAGGGCAUGCCUGGCUAGUGAUUCUUCUGGGUGUUCCCUCUUUGAAGAACCAUCAUCUGUGCCUUAUCACAAACAGUUCUUAAGGAUGUGGAACUCCGGCCACUGGUCCAAAUGAACAUCUUAGAAGUCUGGUCUCCGC
Non-coding RNA from Pogona vitticeps (central bearded dragon), 254 nucleotides. Lineage: Eukaryota; Metazoa; Chordata; Lepidosauria; Squamata; Agamidae. The record is from RefSeq and is a predicted model, not a curated record.